Molecule: ribosomal RNA, 67 nt
Filed under: Cephalotaxus sinensis
Lineage: Eukaryota; Viridiplantae; Streptophyta; Pinopsida; Cupressales; Taxaceae
Description: partial 18S ribosomal RNA
Rfam family: Eukaryotic small subunit ribosomal RNA
Source: RNAcentral
CCUUAUCAUUUAGAGGAAGGAGAAUUCGUAACAAGGUUACCAUAGGGGAACCUGUAGUAGGAUCAUU